AUGGACGCGCCCUUCUUCCACGAGCUCCGGCGGCAGGCCUCGUCCUACCUCACCGGCAAGAUCCGCUCCGCGCGGCUCGCGCUCACCGACGUCACCCCGACGCAGCUGAUGACUGAGGAGGCGACGAACGGCGACGCGUCGCCGCCGAACGCCAAGACGAUGAGCCUCAUCGCGCGGGAGGCGUUCGAGAUCGACGAGUACCUCAGGAUCUCCGACAUCCUCCACACCAGGCUGGCGACGUUCGACAGGAGGCAGUGGCGGGAGCCGUACAAGGCGCUGCUGCUGCUGGAGCACCUCCUGACGCACGGCCCCCGCAGCGUGGCCCUGGAGUUCCAGAAGGACCGGGCCGUCAUCCAGCAGAUGGCCACCUUCCAGCACAUCGACGAGAGAGGUUUCAACUGGGGCCUGACGGUGAAGGGCAAGUCGGAGCGGGUGCUAAAGCUGCUGGAGCGGGGGCCGUUCCUGGAGGAGGAGCGCGAGCGGGCGCGCAAGGUGGCGCGCGAGAUCAAGGGCUUCGGCAGCUUCAACCUCAGCAGCAGCGGCGGCUCGCGCGCGGCGCCGCCGGUGUACUCGCGCAGCCACUCGCGGUACGAGGACCGGCCGUGGAAGGAGGAGGACGGCGAGGAGGAGGACAAGGAGAACCUGGUGUCCCGGCCCGACCCGAGGAGCGUGCGCGAGGAGGUGGCGGAGGAGCUGCACCACCGCCACCCGUUCCACGGCUUCGGGCAGCAGCGGCAGCCGGAGGCGAUGCUGCUGCUCAGCCAGUGA
This 768-nucleotide ribosomal RNA is filed under the name Triticum aestivum (bread wheat). RNAcentral describes it as "partial small subunit ribosomal RNA". The record is from RNAcentral. Lineage: Eukaryota; Viridiplantae; Streptophyta; Magnoliopsida; Poales; Poaceae.